AUAUGAUGAGUUUCUUCUAACUAGGAUUCGAUUCUGUUCUUAACUGAAUGGAGUAGCUAUCUCUUGAGGUAGUCAAUUGGUUGUUAUGUCUCCACUAUAAGCAGAGAGGGGGUAAAACUCUUGAAGUAAGUUAUGUGGGUAAAGAUAUAGUGAUUAAUUGGAGUUCUAGUUCAUUUACUUUGAGAAAAUUAGAGUGUUUUAAAAGCAGCCUCUUGGGGCACUGAAUACAUUAGCAUGGGAUAAUAGAAUAGGAUCUUCACAAUAUAUUUUAUUGGUUUAAAUUGGAUAUGAAGAUAAUGAUUAAUAGGGGACAGUUGGGGGUAUUCAUAUUGGGUGGUUAGCGGUGAAAUGCUCGGAUCCAUUCAAGAUGAACUAAAGCGAAAGCAUUUACCAAGGAUGUUUUCAUUAAUCAAGAACGAAAGUUAAGGGAUCGAAGACGAUUAGAUACCGUCGUAGUCUUAACUAUAAACUAUGCCGAC
Molecule: ribosomal RNA, 479 nt
Filed under: uncultured eukaryote
Lineage: Eukaryota
Description: bacterial SSU rRNA
Rfam family: Eukaryotic small subunit ribosomal RNA
Source: RNAcentral